Sorex araneus (European shrew) is the source of this 136-nucleotide small nucleolar RNA. The record is from Ensembl. Lineage: Eukaryota; Metazoa; Chordata; Mammalia; Eulipotyphla; Soricidae.
AGGCAUACCUGUGGACCUUGUCUAACUCUGAGUGGACGUGUGCAGUGGGGACUGUUUAUGAAAAAAUAAUUUGUAGUCCGUGCCAACUCUAAUCAGCUUAAUUGGUGGCUGAAUAAAUUGCAGUACUCCUACUUCU